Molecule: small RNA, 28 nt
Filed under: Bombyx mori (domestic silkworm)
Lineage: Eukaryota; Metazoa; Arthropoda; Insecta; Lepidoptera; Bombycidae
Description: ovarian small RNA-30358
Source: RNAcentral
UGAAAAGUUACAUUUGGGGUUGCGUUUC